GGGUAACGGCCUACCAAGGCUAUGAUGGGUAGCUGGUCUGAGAGGACGAUCAGCCACACUGGAACUGAGACACGGUUCAGACUCCUACGGGAGGCAGCAGUGGGGAAUAUUGCGCAAUGGGCGAAAGCCUGACGCAGCAACGCCGCGUGGGGGAUGAAGGUUUUCGGAUUGUAAACCCCUUUCGACCGGAACGAAUCUCCUCUUGGUAAAUAAUCAGGAGGAUCGACGGUACCGGGAGAAGAAGCCACCGCUAACUCUGUGCCAGCAGCCGCGGUAAGACAGAGGUGGCGAGCGUUGUUCGGAUUUAUUGGGCGUAAAGCGAACGCAGGUGGUUUGGUAAGUCAGGGGUGAAAGCCCACAGCUUAACUGUGGCACCGCCUUUGAUACUGCCUUUCUUGAGUGCAUGAGGGGGAAGCGGAAUUCCGAGUGUAGAGGUGAAAUUCGUAGAUAUUCGGAGGAACACCGGUGGCGAAGGCGGCUUCCUGGCAUGUAACUGACACUCAUGUUCGAAAGCGUGGGUAGCAAACAGGAUUAGAUACCCUGGUAGUCCACGCCCUAAACGAUGGGCACUAGGUGUGGGAGGUAUCGACCCCUUCCGUGCCGCAGCUAACGCAUUAAGUGCCCCGCCUGGGGAGUACGGCCGCAAGGUUGAAACUCAAAGGAAUUGACGGGGGCCCGCACAAGCGGUGGUGCAUGUGGUUUAAUUCGACCACGCGAAGAACCUUACCUAGGCUUGACAUCCCUGGAAUCCCCUUGAAAGAGGGGAGUGCUCGCAAGAGAGCCAGGAGACAGGUGCUGCAUGGCUGUUGUCAGCUCGUGUCGUGAGAUGUUUGGUUAAGUCCCGCAACGAGCGCAACCCCCAUCCUCAGUUGCCAUCGGGUAAUGCCGGGCACUCAGAGGGAACUGCCCAGGAUAACUGGGAGGAAGGUGGGGAUGACGUCAAGUCCUCAUGGCCUUUAUGCCUAGGGCUACACACGUGCAACAAUGGCCGGUACAAAGGGUUGCAAUCCCGCGAGGGGGAGCCAAUCCCAAAAAACCGGUCUCAGUCCGGAUCGGAGUCUGCAACUCGACUCCGUGAAGUCGGAAUCGCUAGUAAUCGCGGAUCAGAACGCCGCGGUGAAUACGUUCCCGGGCCUUGUACACACCGCCCGUCACACCACGAAAGCCUAUUGUACCUUAAGUCGCUGCGUCAACCCGCAAGGGGGACAGGCGCCCACGGUAUGAUCGGUGAUUGGGGUGAAG
This 1242-nucleotide ribosomal RNA is filed under the name metagenome. RNAcentral describes it as "bacterial SSU rRNA". It matches the Rfam family "Bacterial small subunit ribosomal RNA", at positions 255 to 1485 of the family's 1533-position model. The record is from RNAcentral.